CCCUUAGAUGUCCCGGGCCGCACGCGCGCUACACUGAGUGUCUGAGAUACGAGUCUGCCCGGUCCGGCAAGGUCUAGGUAAUCGCUAAAAGACACAUCAUGCUUGGGAUAGAUUAUUGCAAAUAUUAAUCUUGAACGAGGAAUUCCUAGUAAGCGCAAGUCAACAGCUUGCGUUGAUUACGUCCCUGCCCUUUGUACACACCGCCCGUCGCUACUACUGAUUGGAUGUUUAAGCGAGGUUCUCGAACUGCUAGCGACUUAGCUUCGGUGAGGUCGCAGUGUGGGAAGUGAACCUAGCUUUGGUGUCUAGAGGAAGUAAAAGUCGUAACA
This 329-nucleotide ribosomal RNA is filed under the name uncultured eukaryote. Its description in RNAcentral is "partial 18S ribosomal RNA". It matches the Rfam family "Eukaryotic small subunit ribosomal RNA", at positions 1470 to 1796 of the family's 1831-position model. The record is from RNAcentral.